This 271-nucleotide ribosomal RNA is filed under the name uncultured bacterium. RNAcentral's name for it is "partial 16S ribosomal RNA". It matches the Rfam family "Bacterial small subunit ribosomal RNA", at positions 524 to 776 of the family's 1533-position model. The record is from RNAcentral.
UACGGAGGGUGCGAGCGUUGUCCGGAAUCACUGGGCGUAAAGGGCGCGUAGGCGGCAUGCCAAGCGUGUGGUGAAAGCCCGGGGCUCAACCCCGGGUCGGCCGUGCGGACUGGCGUGCUCGAGCACUGUAGGGGCGGGUGGAAUUCCGGGUGUAGCGGUGGAAUGCGUAGAGAUCCGGAAGAACACCGGUGGCGAAGGCGGCCCGCUGGGCAGGAAGGCGGAGCAAUCCGUCGGCUGACGCUGAGGCGCGACAGCGUGGGGAGCAAACAGG